UACCUCAACAGCAUCCUGCAGCACGCCAAGGACUUCAAGGAGUACCACCGGAGCGUCAGCGGGAAGAUCCAGAAGCUGACCAAGGCCGUGGCCACCUACCACGCCAACACCGAGCGCGAGCAGAAGAAGGAGAACGAGCGCAUCGAGAAGGAGCGGAUGCGCCGGCUGAUGGCCGAGGAUGAGGAGGGCUACCGCAAGCUCAUCGACCAGAAGAAGGACAAGCGCCUGGCCUACCUGCUGCAGCAGACCGACGAGUACGUGGCCAACCUCACCGAGCUCGUCAGGCAGCACAAGGCGGCCCAGGUGGCCAAGGAG
Lonchura striata (white-rumped munia) is the source of this 315-nucleotide non-coding RNA. Lineage: Eukaryota; Metazoa; Chordata; Aves; Passeriformes; Estrildidae. The record is from RefSeq and is a predicted model, not a curated record.